GGUAGUUGAGGGCAGAAAUGGUUCCUGCCGCACCUUCAACAAGGUAUCUGAGAUGUUGGAUACACCGACCAACCGACUGCU
Small RNA from Parvimonas micra, 81 nucleotides. It matches the Rfam family "skipping-rope RNA". Rfam says of the family: Firmicutes, Fusobacteria, AlphaProteobacteria, Spirochaetes. NCBI's taxonomy places the organism in Bacteria, Bacillati, Bacillota, Tissierellia, Tissierellales, Peptoniphilaceae. The record is from Rfam.